GGAAUAUUGGGCAAUGGGCGAAAGCCUGACCCAGCAACGCCGCGUGAGUGAAGAAGGCCUUCGGGUUGUAAAGCUCUGUUACAGGUGACGAAGGAAGUGACGGUAGCUUGUAAGGAAGCCCCGGCUAACUACGUGCCAGCAGCCGCGGUAAUACGUAGGGGGCGAGCGUUGUCCGGAAUGACUGGGCGUAAAGGGCGUGUAGGCGGUUUUUUAAGUCUGGAGUGAAAGUCCUGCAUUCAAUGUGGGAAUUGCUUUGGAUACUGGAAGACUUGAGUGCGGAAGAGGUAAGUGGAAUUCCCAGUGUAGCGGUGAAAUGCGUAGAGAUUGGGAGGAACACCAGUGGCGAAGGCGACUUACUGGGCCGUAACUGACGCUGAGGCGCGAAAGCGUGGGGAGCGAACA
This 402-nucleotide ribosomal RNA is filed under the name uncultured bacterium. RNAcentral describes it as "bacterial SSU rRNA". It matches the Rfam family "Bacterial small subunit ribosomal RNA", at positions 358 to 774 of the family's 1533-position model. The record is from RNAcentral.